Molecule: ribosomal RNA, 519 nt
Filed under: Phylladiorhynchus janiqueae
Lineage: Eukaryota; Metazoa; Arthropoda; Malacostraca; Decapoda; Galatheidae
Description: partial large subunit ribosomal RNA
Rfam family: Archaeal large subunit ribosomal RNA (bases 395-519)
Source: RNAcentral
GUCUCUAUGAAGUUAUAUAUAGUCUAGCCUGCCCACUGAUUUUUUAAAGGCCGCAGUACCCUGACUGUGCAAAGGUAGCAUAAUAAUUAGUUUUUUAAUUGAAAGCUUGAAUGAAUGGCUGGACGAAGAAUAAUCUUUCUUUAAUUUUAAUUUAAAAAUUUACUUUUAAGUGAAAAGGCUUAAAUGAGUUUAAAAGACGAUAAGACCCUAUAAAACUUUAUAAAAUAAAAUAUUUACUUUAAUUAUUAAGUUUAAAUCUUUUAAAUAUUUAAUUUUAUUAUGUUGGGGUAACAAGAAUAAAUAAUUUUCAUUAAACUGUUCUUUAAAAAAACAAAAAUAUUUGAAUUAAUUUUGAUGAUCCUUUUUUAAGAAUAACAGAUUAAGUUACUUUAGGGAUAACAGCGUAAUUUUUUUAAAGAGUUCUUAUCGAAAAAAAAGUUUACGACCUCGAUGUUGAAUUAAAAUUUCUUUAUAGGUGUAGAAGCUAUAAAAGUAAGUCUGUUCGACUUUUAAAAUUUU